CUCUACUGUUGUAUAAUUGAUGAUAACGAAUUUUCUAACGUUUUCAUUUUUAUGGAAGCUUUAAGAUGCGUGGCAAAUAUCUGAAUCCACAUCAUUCGUCGUAGGAGGUUUAUAUCUAACCACGUUACCAACCUUGAACGUGGGUGCUAAUCUACGUUAAGUUCAGCAGUCCAGAUGAUUAAAAGCCAUCGAGUGAGAAAUCUUAAUUGGAGGACGAGAUUCAAAAAAAUAUAAACUUGUGAUUGAAAAUAUAAAGGAUUCGGAUGUUAUAACCUGUGUGAACCUAACAAUCGAGACAUCGGUUAGUCAUUUACAUUAUGUAACAAUUGUAAUUUUAUCUGCGGCCUUGACUGAGUUCUCUAUUUGCUGAUCGAGUAUUUGGGUCUUGUGUUUUCCUGUUCUCACCGGACCAAGAAAUCAAAAUAAAUGGAGUCAUUUUACAAAAUGUAUUAAACAAAAGUAACUUUCUGACA
Molecule: long non-coding RNA, 473 nt
Organism: Centruroides sculpturatus (bark scorpion)
Lineage: Eukaryota; Metazoa; Arthropoda; Arachnida; Scorpiones; Buthidae
Exons: 3
Source: RefSeq, a predicted model, not a curated record